RNAcentral lists this ribosomal RNA (447 nucleotides) under uncultured bacterium. RNAcentral describes it as "SSU rRNA". It matches the Rfam family "Bacterial small subunit ribosomal RNA", at positions 26 to 518 of the family's 1533-position model. The record is from RNAcentral.
AGAACGAACGCUGGCGGCAUGCCUAACACAUGCAAGUCGAACGAGACCUUCGGGUCUAGUGGCGCACGGGUGCGUAACGCGUGGGAAUCUGCCCUUAGGUACGGAAUAACUCAGGGAAACUUGUGCUAAUACCGUAUGAUGUCGAGAGACCAAAGAUUUAUCGCCUAGGGAUGAGCCCGCGUAGGAUUAGCUAGUUGGUGGGGUAAAGGCCUACCAAGGCUACGAUCCUUAGCUGGUCUGAGAGGAUGAUCAGCCACACUGGGACUGAGACACGGCCCAGACUCCUACGGGAGGCAGCAGUGGGGAAUAUUGGACAAUGGGCGAAAAGCCUGAUCCAGCAAUGCCGCGUGAGUGAAGAAGGCCUUCGGGUUGUAAAGCUCUUUUACCCGGGAAGAUAAUGACUGUACCGGGAGAAUAAGCUCCGGCUAACUCCGCGCCAGCAGCCGC